This 467-nucleotide ribosomal RNA is filed under the name uncultured bacterium. Its description in RNAcentral is "bacterial SSU rRNA". It matches the Rfam family "Bacterial small subunit ribosomal RNA", at positions 28 to 507 of the family's 1533-position model. The record is from RNAcentral.
GAUGAACGCUGGCGGCGUGCUUAACACAUGCAAGUCGAACGGUGACGAGGAGCUUGCUCCUCUGAUCAGUGGCGAACGGGUGAGUAACACGUGAGCAACCUGCCCCAGACUCUGGGAUAACAGUUGGAAACAGCUGCUAAUACCGGAUACGAGACGGAGAGGCAUCUCUACCGUCUGGAAAGUUUUUCGGUCUGGGAUGGACUCGCGGCCUAUCAGCUAGUUGGUGAGGUAAUGGCUCACCAAGGCGACGACGGGUAGCCGGCCUGAGAGGGCGACCGGCCACACUGGGACUGAGACACGGCCCAGACUCCUACGGGAGGCAGCAGUGGGGAAUAUUGCACAAUGGGCGAAAGCCUGAUGCAGCGACGCCGCGUGAGGGAUGACGGCCUUCGGGUUGUAAACCUCUUUCAGCAGGGAAGAAGCGAAAGUGACGGUACCUGCAGAAGAAGCACCGGCUAACCUACGUG